This 440-nucleotide ribosomal RNA is filed under the name uncultured bacterium. RNAcentral's name for it is "partial 16S ribosomal RNA". It matches the Rfam family "Bacterial small subunit ribosomal RNA", at positions 338 to 795 of the family's 1533-position model. The record is from RNAcentral.
CCUACGGGAGGCAGCAGUGGGGGAUAUUGCACAAUGGGGGAAACCCUAAUGCAGCGACGCCGCGUGUGGGAAGACGGUCCUCUGGAUUGUAAACCACUGUCCCCAGGGACGAAGAUGACGGUACCUGGGGAGGAAGCUCCGGCUAACUACGUGCCAGCAGCCGCGGUAAUACGUAGGGAGCGAGCGUUGUCCGGAAUUACUGGGUGUAAAGGGAGCGUAGGCGGGACUGCAAGUUGGGUGUCAAAUCUACCGGCUCAACCGGUAGCCGCACUCAAAACUGCAGUUCUUGAGUGAAGUAGAGGCAGGCGGAAUUCCUAGUGUAGCGGUGAAAGGCGUAGAUAUUAGGAGGAACACCAGUGGCGAAGGCGGCCUGCUGGGCUUUUACUGACGCUGAGGCUCGAAAGUGUGGGGAGCAAACAGGAUUAGAUACCCCAGUAGUC